RNAcentral lists this long non-coding RNA (635 nucleotides) under Linum usitatissimum (flax). RNAcentral's name for it is "long non-coding RNA (LUSI_LNC003722)". The record is from RNAcentral. Lineage: Eukaryota; Viridiplantae; Streptophyta; Magnoliopsida; Malpighiales; Linaceae.
CGACAUCGCCGGCGGAAUCAGUCAUCAAAAGAAAAGCACAAUGAAGGAACCUUUCUCACAGCUCAAUCAUGUUCAAUUUUAGUAGUUCCUUCUAAGCCUCUGUUUCAUCGUCCUCUGUUCUGAGCUUGAGUAGUUUCAUGCCGGGUGGGGAUAAUACACCGUCAUUAUUCGAUCUAGCCUCCAUCGUCAUCAUCAAUUCGUCAGAAGGAUUUUCAAAACCUCCCCAUUAUAACCAAACGCUAAAUGCUGGAAGAAGGCAACAAAAGAGGGAGAUUAAACUACACAAAUAAGUUUCAGUGUUGUUCAACUUCAAAGCUUCUUCUGUCUAGGUCCUCCUACAGAGAGUGUUAAAAUAAAACUCUACCUGAUUGCUUAUUAGUUGGGAAACAGGAAGAAAGAAACAUCAAAGCUUGCAAUUUUACAGACUAGGAAGAACAAGUAGGCCAUCACCAACAAAUAAGUAAACAACCGCAGCAAGAUACAAACACUGUGAGAAAAACGGAAGUGAGGAUGGAAGAAACAAGUGACUUUUUUGUGUGACAGCAUACCUCAAAAUCUCGUAAAGCUUGCAGUUCAGGAACAAAGCAUUCCUAACUUUGAAUCCGUAUAAACCUUGGAUAAAGGAAGAAUAAAAG